This 934-nucleotide unclassified non-coding RNA is filed under the name Penaeus japonicus. RNAcentral's name for it is "eukaryotic translation initiation factor 3 subunit A- like, transcript variant X3". The record is from RNAcentral. Lineage: Eukaryota; Metazoa; Arthropoda; Malacostraca; Decapoda; Penaeidae.
GAAAUGCUCAGAGACCGAGAGGAGAAGCUGGGGGAGAGAGAGAGCCACCUGAAGCGAGCGGAGGAGCAACACCUGGAAGAGGUGAGGAACCUGAGAAGAAUACAACGCACGAGAGAGGAAGAGGUAGCCGAAGAAAGAAGGGAAUUAAAUCAAAUGUUAAGAAAUCGGGAAGAGAAGAUUACGUCCCUGAAGGAAAUGCUCAGAGACCGAGAGGAGAAGCUGGGGGAGAGAGAGAGCCACCUGAAGCGAGCGGAGGUAAGGACACGUGCAAGAGAUGAUACACACAUACAAACAUGUAUCUGUAUAUCUGUUUCUGUAUCAAUGCCUUUAUACACAUCUCUAUCAACACACACGUAAAUACUUACCUAUAUGCAAAAAACAAUUCAGAAGUACAUAAUACAUCAGAAGAAAAUAAAUAUCAUCAUGAUUAUAAUAAUCUUAAAGAUAGUAAUAAGACAUAAUGAUGAUGGUGAUAAAAAAGCCACAUGAAACUAGAAUCUAAACUGACUUCAAUUUUCCUAUAGAAAUGUCAGACUAACCUCAGCUUUAGUUGUCAGAAAAGGGCACAUGAGACCAAAACUUAAGAACUGCCCUCAAAUUUAGUGUUCAAUAGAUCAAUAGAUUGAAAAUGAACAUGGGACUUCCUCACCAGAUAACAAUAACAAUAAUAAGAAAAGAGAAUAAAAUGAGGAAGAGGAAUCCUCCACUGCUUUCAGGCUUGAUGUCCUGUGACCUUGCUCAGAAGCCGCCUCUCUUGGCGAAAUCGGGGUCAUUUCUAGACACUGACACCAUAUAGGAAAGGGCAAAGCACUGAUUUCUUUUGCUAGAUUUGAUUGCUUAGUAAGACAAAGACAGUUAGGAGUGCAAGAACGGAAGAUGAGACAUUUACAUUCUCUAUUAAGGGAUAGAGGGUUAGAGGUGGAGGAUUCAGAGG